This 2193-nucleotide ribosomal RNA is filed under the name Triticum aestivum (bread wheat). RNAcentral's name for it is "partial small subunit ribosomal RNA". Lineage: Eukaryota; Viridiplantae; Streptophyta; Magnoliopsida; Poales; Poaceae. The record is from RNAcentral.
AUGGACUUCGGGGAUGACCAGGAGGGGGGAUCCGAGAGCAACCACCACCAGCAGCAGCAGCAGAACCAGAACCAGCGCCGCAAGCGCUACCACCGCCACACGCCGCGCCAGAUUCAGACGCUCGAGGCGAUGUUCAAGGAGUGCCCCCACCCCGACGAGGCGCAGCGCGCCAAUCUCAGCCGCGAGCUCGGCCUCGAGGCCCGCCAGAUUAAGUUCUGGUUCCAGAACCGGCGCACGCAGAUGAAGGCACAGCACGAACGCCAGGACAAUUGCUUCCUGCGCCAGGAGAACGACAAGAUCCGCUGCGAAAACAUAGCCAUGCGCGAGGCGCUGAAGAAUGUUAUCUGCCCCACCUGCGGCGGCCCGCCCAUCGCCGAAGAUUACUUCGACGAGCAGAAGCUCCGCAUGGAGAACGCUCGCCUGAAGCAGGAGCUCGACCAGGUCGCCGGCCUCACCGCCAAGUACCUCGGCCGCCCCUUCACGCAGCUGCCGCAGGGCACGCCCCAGAUGAACGUCUCCUCGCUCGACCUCUCCAUGGGCGGGGUGCCAAUCGGCGGCGUGCCGAUGGGCGGCGGGCACCACCAGCCGUUCUGCGGCGGCGGCCUCUCGCUGGACCUCGACCUCAGCGGGGCUGGCCUGGGCAUGCCGUUGUCGGACAUGCCGACCAUGCAUCUGCCGGCGCCCGUGACUGAAAAGGAGCGCCCCUUGUUGGCCAAGAUGGCCACGCGGGCCAUGGACGAGUUGAUCCGGCUCACCCAGCAGGGCGAAAACGUGUGGGUCAAGAUCCCGGGCGGCGACGGCCGGGAGAUCAUCGACGUCCAGGCGUACGACUCCAUCUACUCCAAGCCCGGCAGCAGCAACCUCCGCGCCGGAGACAUCCGCGUCGAGGGCUCCCGCGACUCGGCAAUCGUGUGCAUGAACCCCGUCUGCCUCGUCGAAGUGUUCAUGGACCCGAGCAAGUUCAUGGAGUUCUUCCCAAGCAUCGUGUCCCACGCGCGGAUCACUGACCCCCUCGUCAAUGGCCUGAACGGGAGGAGCGAGUCACUCGUCAUGAUGUACGAGCAGCUGCACUUCACGACGCCGGCCGUCCCGACCCGCGAGUUCAGCUUCCUCCGCUACUGCCGGCAGAUCGACCAGGGCAUGUGGGCCAUCGCCGACGUCUCCGCGGACAUGCAGCGCGAGGUCCACUACGGCGGCCCGCCGUCGCGCUCCCGCCGCCUCCCGUCCGGCUGCCUCAUCUCCGAAAUGACCAAUGGCUACUCCAGGGUGACCUGGGUCGAACACAUGGAGAUCGAGGACAAGAGCCCGAUCGGCCCCCUGUACCGCGACAUCGUGCAGAGCGGCGCCGCCUUCGGGGCGCACCGCUGGGUCGCCGCGCUGCACCGCGCCUGCGAGCGCUACGCUUCUUCAGUCGAGGUGCCCGGCGUGAUGCACGGCGAGACCACCGGAGUGACGGCUGAAGGGAGACGCAGCAUGAUGGCGCUGUCGCAGCGCAUGGUGAGCAGCUUCUGCGGGGGCAUGACGGCGUCGCCGCAGCACCAGUGGACGACCAUGCCCGGCGCCGGCGGCAGCGAGGUGUGCGUGCGCGUGUCCAUGAACCAGGGCUCCCAGCCGGGGCAGCCCAACGGCGUGGUGCUCGGCGCCGCCACCUCCGUCUGGCUCCCCGUCCCCGCCGACCACGUCUUCGGCUUCCUCCGGGACGAGAACACGCGCACCCAGUGGGACGUCCUGUGCAAGGAGAAUUCGGUGCAGCCGGUGUCGCGCAUCCCCAACGGCCCCAAUCCCGGGAACUGCAUCACGCUGCUGCGGGCCCUGGGCCCGAGCCAGAGCCCCCAAGGUGGCCAGGCCACCAUCCUGGUGCUGCAGGAGAGCUGCACGGACACGUCGGGGUGCUCCAUGGUGGUGCACUCGCCCAUCGACAUCCCGGCGGCCAACAUGAUGAUGAGCGGCGCCGACCCGUCGGGCAUCCCGCUGCUGCCCUCGGGGUUCGCCAUCUGGCCCGCGGGCGUGGGCGGCGGCGCGUCCACCAGCGCCGCCACCCCGAUGGCGGCGGGGUGCAUCGUCAGCGUCGCCUUCCAGAUCCUCAUCAGCAGCCUGCCGUCGUCCAAGCUCAACGCCGAGUCCAUCGCCACCGUCAACAACCUCGUCAGCACCACCGUCCAGAACAUCAAGACCGCCCUCAACUGCGCCUAG